This 427-nucleotide ribosomal RNA is filed under the name uncultured bacterium. RNAcentral describes it as "partial 16S ribosomal RNA". It matches the Rfam family "Bacterial small subunit ribosomal RNA", at positions 354 to 796 of the family's 1533-position model. The record is from RNAcentral.
GUGGGGAAUAUUGCGCAAUGGGGGAAACCCUGACGCAGCGACACCAUGUGAAGGAUGAAGGCCCUAGGGUUGUAAACUUCUGUCUAGAGGAAAGAAUCAAUGACGGUACCUCUAAAGAAAGCACCGGCUAACUCCGUGCCAGCAGCCGCGGUAAUACGGAGGGUGCAAGCAUUAUUCGGAAUUACUAGGUGUAAAGGGCGUGUAGGCGGGAUUACAAGUCAGAUGUGAAAACUAUGGGCUCAACCCAUAGCCUGCAUUUGAAACUGUAGUUCUUGAGUGAUGGAGAGGCAGACGGAAUUCCUCGUGUAGCGGUGAAAUGCGUAGAUAUGAGGAGGAACACCAGUGGCGAAGGCGGCUCACUGGCUCGAUACUGACGCUGAGGUGCGAAAGCGUGGGGAGCAAACAGGAUUAGAUACCCUUGUAGUCC